GAUGAACGCUAGCGGCAGGCCUAAUACAUGCAAGUCGGACGGGAUCCAUUGAUAGCUUGCUAUCAAUGGUGAGAGUGGCGCACGGGUGCGUAACGCGUGAGCAGCCUGCCUCCAUCAGGGGGAUAGCCUCUCGAAAGAGAGAUUAACACCGCAUAAUAUCAACAGUUCGCAUGUUCAGUUGAUUAAAUAUUUAUAGGAUGGAGAUGGGCUCGCGUGACAUUAGCUAGUUGGUAGGGUAACGGCUUACCAAGGCGACGAUGUCUAGGGGCUCUGAGAGGAGAAUCCCCCACACUGGUACUGAGACACGGACCAGACUCCUACGGGAGGCAGCAGUAAGGAAUAUUGGUCAAUGGGCGGAAGCCUGAACCAGCCAUGCCGCGUGCAGGAUGACUGCCCUAUGGGUUGUAAACUGCUUUUGUCCAGGAAUAAACCUAAAUACGAGUAUUUAGCUGAAUGUACUGGAAGAAUAAGGAUCGGCUAACUCCGU
This 487-nucleotide ribosomal RNA is filed under the name uncultured bacterium. RNAcentral's name for it is "partial 16S ribosomal RNA". It matches the Rfam family "Bacterial small subunit ribosomal RNA", at positions 28 to 506 of the family's 1533-position model. The record is from RNAcentral.